CAACAGGGAUUGCCUCAGUAACGGCGAGUGAAGCGGCAACAGCUCAAAUUUGAAAUCUGGCCCCGUCGGGGCCCGAGUUGUAAUUUGUAGAGAGUGUUUCGGGGGAGACCACGGUCUAAGUCUAUUGGAACAUGGCGUCAUAGAGGGUGAGAAUCCCGUACGUGACCGUGGCUCGAGCCCAUGUGAAGCCUCUUCGACGAGUCGAGUUGUUUGGGAAUGCAGCUCAAAAUGGGUGGUAAAUUUCAUCUAAAGCUAAAUACUGGCUGGAGACCGAUAGCGCACAAGUAGAGUGAUCGAAAGAUGAAAAGCACUUUGGAAAGAGAGUCAAAAAGUACGUGAAAUUGUUGAAAGGGAAGCGCUUGCAACCAGACCUGUCCGUAGGUGAUCAGCCGCUGUUCUCAGCGGUGCACUCGCUCUGCGAUCAGGCCAGCAUCGGUUUCGGCGGUCGGAUAAAGGCCUUGGGAAUGUAGCUUCCUUCGGGGAGUCUUAUAGCCCUCGGUGCAAUGCGGCCAGCCGGGACCGAGGACCGCGCUUCGGCUAGGAUGCUGGCGUAAUGGUUGUAAGCGACCCGUCUUGAAACACGGACCAAGGAGUCUAACAUCUAUGCGAGUGUUUGGGUGUCAAACCCAUGCGCGGAAUGAAAGUGAACGGAGGUGAGACCCCUUUAGGGCGCAUCAUCGACCGAUCCAGAUGUCUUCGGAUGGAUUUGAGUAUGAGCAUAGCUGUUGGGACCCGAAAGGUAAGCACUUCUCUCCCUUAACAUCUAGAUUGUUUUUAUACUAACAUAUUCGAAAGAUGGUGAACUAUGCCUGAAUAGGGUGAAGCCAGAGGAAACUCUGGUGGAGGCUCGCAGCGGUUCUGACGUGCAAAUCGAUCGUCAAAUUUGGGUAUAGGGGUCAGUCUCAAGUUUUCCGUUCC
This 918-nucleotide ribosomal RNA is filed under the name Usnea subcornuta. RNAcentral's name for it is "eukaryotic LSU rRNA". It matches the Rfam family "Eukaryotic large subunit ribosomal RNA", at positions 66 to 932 of the family's 3401-position model. The record is from RNAcentral. Lineage: Eukaryota; Fungi; Ascomycota; Lecanoromycetes; Lecanorales; Parmeliaceae.